This 253-nucleotide ribosomal RNA is filed under the name uncultured bacterium. Its description in RNAcentral is "partial 16S ribosomal RNA". It matches the Rfam family "Bacterial small subunit ribosomal RNA", at positions 524 to 776 of the family's 1533-position model. The record is from RNAcentral.
UACGGGGGGGGCAAGCGUUGUUCGGAAUUACUGGGCGUAAAGGGUUCGUAGGUGGCCACCUAAGUCAGACGUGAAAUCCCUCAGCUUAACUGGGGAACUGCGUCUGAUACUGGGUGGCUUGAGUGCAGGAGAGGAAUGCGGAAUUCCAGGUGUAGCGGUGAAAUGCGUAGAUAUCUGGAGGAACACCGGUGGCGAAGGCGGCAUUCUGGACUGUAACUGACACUGAGGAACGAAAGCCAGGGGAGCAAACGGG